This 456-nucleotide ribosomal RNA is filed under the name uncultured Acidobacteriota bacterium. Its description in RNAcentral is "uncultured Acidobacteria bacterium partial 16S ribosomal RNA". The record is from RNAcentral. Lineage: Bacteria; Pseudomonadati; Acidobacteriota.
GACUACAGGGGUAUCUAAUCCCGUUUGCUCCCCUAGCUUUCGCGCCUCAGCGUCAGUUAUUGUCCAGAAAGCCGCCUUCGCCACCGGUGUUCCUCCCAAUAUCUACGCAUUUCACCGCUACACUGGGAGUUCCGCUUUCCUCUCCAAAACUCUAGCUAGGCAGUUUCAGUUGCAAUUCCCAAGUUAAGCUCGGGGCUUUCACAACUGACUUACCUAACCGCCUACACGCCCUUUACGCCCAGUAAUUCCGAACAACGCUUGCCCCCUCCGUAUUACCGCGGCUGCUGGCACGGAGUUAGCCGGGGCUUCCUCACUUGGUACAGUCAGUGACCCUUGCGGGCCGUUUCGUCCCAAACGACAGAGUUUUACAUCCCGAAGGCCUUCAUCACUCACGCGGCGUUGCUGCGUCAGGCUUUCGCCCAUUGCGCAAAAUUCCCCACUGCAGCCGCCCGUAGG